GUAGGUGGCAAGCGUUGUCCGGAAUUAUUGGGCGUAAAGCGCGCGCAGGCGGUUCUUUAAGUCUGAUGUGAAAGCCCACGGCUCAACCGUGGAGGGUCAUUGGAAACUGGAGAACUUGAGUACAGAAGAGGAAAGCGGAAUUCCACGUGUAGCGGUGAAAUGCGUAGAGAUGUGGAGGAACACCAGUGGCGAAGGCGGCGUUCUGGUCUGUAACUGACGCUGAGGCGCGAAAGCGUGGGGAGCAAACAGGAUUAGAUACCCUGGUAGUCCACGCCGUAAACGAUGAGUGCUAAGUGUUAGGGGGGUUUUCCGCCCCCCUUAGUGCUGCAGCUAACGCAUUAAGCACUCCGCCUGGGAUACGGCCGCAAGGCUG
RNAcentral lists this ribosomal RNA (373 nucleotides) under uncultured organism. RNAcentral describes it as "partial 16S ribosomal RNA". It matches the Rfam family "Bacterial small subunit ribosomal RNA", at positions 527 to 896 of the family's 1533-position model. The record is from RNAcentral.